Long non-coding RNA from Populus trichocarpa (black cottonwood), 921 nucleotides. RefSeq lists it as uncharacterized. The record is from RefSeq and is a predicted model, not a curated record. Lineage: Eukaryota; Viridiplantae; Streptophyta; Magnoliopsida; Malpighiales; Salicaceae. The transcript is spliced from 3 exons.
UGGAGCACCUGAACAGAAACUUAAAUAAGAAGAAUGUUCCUUGGGCAUAGUGCAGUCAUCUUACAUGGCCUGUGUUUUUGUAGGAGGUUGGUGGAAAGGUCGAGGAGAAGUUCCCGAAAGAUGCAGACCUUAUUGUUGCAUGCCAGAGAGGAUUGAGUUGGACAGAUCAACAAAGGGCUGCUGCUGUCAAGGAAGGUUGGGGUUAUCUAUUAUUGUUCUCUGCUCGUCUGGUAAUCAUAGUGUUUUCCUUCCAUUUUUUUCCUGUAAAAUCAUCUGCAAAGUCCAGUUUUUAGAUUAGUAGGAUAUUAAUGUCUUUGUUUCCAGCACAGGUUGGAGUAUUUCUUGUUGCAGAUGCCUUGUUUAUUGGUGCUCAGCAAGUAGAUCGUGUAUUCAGGAUAUAAGAUCACAUUGAGUUGAGCUUGAAGGCAGUUGAUUGAUUCACCAGAGAGCAUGUUUUUUGCGUUCUUAGUGACAUAUGAGAUUGAAUGGUAUCCCAAUUUUUAAACCAAGAGUAGUUUAGAAUGCCAAGCACAUACCUCCAUAUCAUGUCUUUAAUGUUCAAUCCUGUUGUGUCUAGGCAUCGGUUUCUUCCUUGUAAGAUGAUGUAUAUGCUCUGAAUUGUGUGUCUCUAUAAUCAAUAUCCAAAAACAGUGCUCAAUGUCAUGGAUGGUGCUUCCUUUCUUUUUUGAAAUGUCAAGUCUAUCUGGUUCCAAGGCAAAGCAGAUCAGGCAUCUACUUGCUGCAUCGUAGACAUUCAUUUGUAUUAUGAUUGAUUGAAGCGCAAAGGUGACACAACUUAUAACUGAUUAUAGUGUCCAAGUUCCAGCAGCAAGGACUAAGGCAGGAGUUAAGUCGUACCCAAGUUCUGCUUUCUUUUUACAAGCAAACCACAAGUAGUACUUUUAUUCGGAAAGAAAAUUA